Molecule: long non-coding RNA, 344 nt
Filed under: Solanum lycopersicum (tomato)
Lineage: Eukaryota; Viridiplantae; Streptophyta; Magnoliopsida; Solanales; Solanaceae
Description: long non-coding RNA (SLYC_LNC001116)
Source: RNAcentral
UUUCUUGACAAAUUUGAGAGGAAGUUUGUUAGCCAAGGAGCCUAUGACACCCGCAACAUAUUCCAGUCGCUUGAUUUAGCUUGGACACUCCUUCGCAUCUUCCCUCGUGAGCUUCUCCAUCGUAUCCCUGCAAAGACCCUGGAUCAGUAUUACAGCCGUGAUGCUUCUAAUUGAAGGAACCAGCUAUGUACUUAAUUACCUGUGUUGACUGCCUUGGAAUGAGCUUGAUGAUACAUAUGUGGUUUUCCUCGUUAAAUUAGGAAUCUCCUUUCAGCUCAACAAUAAAAGCUCUCUCUACUGGGUUCCCAGAACCAAGGUUUUCCGGCAUUUGCAAGACAUUUAUA